GAUAUCUGGUUGAUCCUGCCUGAACUGAUGUGUUCAUUUCAAAGAUUAAGCCAUGCAUGUACCAGUUUAAUCGACCUGCAGGCAGCCAAGCUUUUGUUCCUUUUAA
Molecule: ribosomal RNA, 106 nt
Filed under: Meloidogyne chitwoodi
Lineage: Eukaryota; Metazoa; Nematoda; Chromadorea; Rhabditida; Meloidogynidae
Description: partial 18S ribosomal RNA
Source: RNAcentral